Long non-coding RNA from Schistocerca americana (American grasshopper), 812 nucleotides. RefSeq lists it as uncharacterized. The transcript has 3 exons. The record is from RefSeq and is a predicted model, not a curated record. NCBI's taxonomy places the organism in Eukaryota, Metazoa, Arthropoda, Insecta, Orthoptera, Acrididae.
AUCAUUCUGUGACCUCUGCCACAUGAUAAAUGGAUGAGAUAUGGACAGUCAAGUUCCACGCUUCUUUCAAGGGCAGUAAAUUCUUUCUACUGUGGCACAUGAAAACCAUCAGCUUCUGUGACAUAUUACUGCGUGCUUCUCCCAUAUUGAUUCUAAUUGUAUCUGUGUGCUUUUCUGAAGAUGUAUUAAUACAAUACAAUUAAUUAACACUUGGUGCAUAUGUAAUGGAGGUGUUCUGCUCAGGAUAAUGAGGUUUCUCUUAAGCAUAAUGUUUUCUAUUAAAUACUUAGUUUGUUCAAGAGACAUUGCCUGGAGUGUAGUUAACUGACGAUUAGUUUGAAUUACCAAAUGAUAAUUUCAUGAGAACAUUUUUGAUGCUGAUAUGCACUAAAUGUUUGGUGAAAAACUGUUAGAAAGAAAAGCAAUCAGUUCUUUAACAAAUUCUGCCAGCUGGCUGCAAUAUAACACUAUUUAAAACUAAGGGAAUUACAUGAAAUAAAUAGUACCAUUAAUAUCCUUUUCUCUUAAAUCUAGAUUUUGCUGUUCCAAUAAAGUUCCAAUUGUAUCAGAGUACAUUUUUAUAUUUAACUAAUGUUGUGCACAUAAUUUGACGGAAUGCCCUCAGUGAACCAUUUGAGAAUUAACUUGAAACCUGUUUGUUUCAAUGCCAUACUAGUUAAUACUGUGAUUUAAUUUACCAUCAGAAUUAAGAACAUUACAAUGAAGUAACUGUUAUGAUAGUGUAUAUAGGGCUAAGUACACUCAAUUUAUCUUUAUACAUGCUACAUUCUACCUGGGAUUCCCAGGGACUC